Molecule: non-coding RNA, 966 nt
Organism: Salvelinus sp. IW2-2015
Lineage: Eukaryota; Metazoa; Chordata; Actinopteri; Salmoniformes; Salmonidae
Source: RefSeq, a predicted model, not a curated record
UGUGAAGUGGUACAAAGGGAAUGAACUCUUAGAUAAUGUACUUACAGCGACGUCAGUAAGACAAAAGUGAAUGUGUCAGCUACUCUGAUGAUCAGCCCCAGUAGAGAUGAUGAUGGAGCCAGUAUAGAUGUAGAGCAGAACUGGACCUGGGACCAGAGGGACCACAACCCCAUCCUACAGUGACAUCAGAACCUCUCAACAUUACUGUGCACUACAAGCCAGUGAUUGAUGUCCAAGCCAGUACAGUGCCGUGGAGGAGAAUUCCCCUGGACAGGAUCCCUUGUACAUUCAAUGGGAAUCCUCCCCCUAACGUUGUGUGUACCAGAGGGCGACAGCGGUCGAUGCCUCUGCACCCCUGGCCAGGACGGACUUUGGCCAGUAUGUCAUCAGAUCACCAAUGACAUAGGCAGCACCAGCUCUACUGUUCAUAUCACAGUGGAAUAUGCCCCCAAGUUUAACUGUACUGACAAUAUGAAGUUAAAGAGAAUGAAAAUCACAACUCUCAGUCACCUGUACAGUUGAUGGCAACCCUUCUUUCAAAAUCACCUGGUUGAAAGCCCAACAGGAAGUGGAUAUCCCUCAAAGUCUCACUAGGGAAAACAGAGGGAGUACACACUGGUUACAAACAACACACAUGGAAAAGCCACUCAACGCUUGUUAUCAACGUCUUGUAUGCUCCUGAGUUCCUUCCAGGGAAUGACCACAGUGGAGGUGAGUGCAGGCAGUGAUGUGUCUCUGGACUGCAGUGCUGAGGGAACCCUCCUCCUAAGCUGAGGUGGACCAACAACACUGCAGAGGGAAAUGCCAUUGAGACCACUGUGGGGCACCUGCGUACUCUCAAUAUCUCCAGAGUAACAAGCUGAUGCAACUACAACUGCACAGUCACAAAUAGACUGGGCUCCAUCACCAAGCAGAUACAUGUCCUAGUAGAUGUACCUCCACAACAACACCCAACGAUGUUCCCAC